Molecule: small RNA, 30 nt
Filed under: Bombyx mori (domestic silkworm)
Lineage: Eukaryota; Metazoa; Arthropoda; Insecta; Lepidoptera; Bombycidae
Description: ovarian small RNA-28379
Source: RNAcentral
UCGAGCGCCACCUCGAGCCCCAACCGUCGU